CCUGUCCCGGGACACGGAGCACGAAGGCGGCAGCAGCAGCGGGAGCUGCAGGCAGGGGACACCGGAGCUGCCUUGGCCGAGCGGGGCCCGGGGCAGAUUCUGUAGGGGCCAAAAUGAACAUUUUGGGGUGAAAUGUGAAUUAAUGUGCAGGGGCCAGAAUGCACAGUUUGGGGUAAGGAUGAAGUGGUCGAUGCUCUCCGGAGGGACCAGCUCGGGCUGGCUCUGUGUUGCUGUGAAUAAUUUGCUUUAUGGAACGAGACACCUGAGACUGCAGCGGGAAUCCAGGGCUGGAGCCGGGAAGGAAACCUGGUCUGACCGCGGGAAGGGGAGCGGGGGUCAGGCGGGGCCCCCGUCGGUCACUGGAGCCGCCGCCGUGAAAGCGACGUCCAAGAACAUCCCAAAGGGCCUCCUCACCCUCAUGGACAGCAGGAAUGUCUUCCAUGGCUCCUGCUUGGGAAUGGCACUGGCUGUUGGCAGCUCUGGCAGGAGCACCUGGAGACCAGGGUGAGGAAGCCAGGCCUGGCGAGGAGGAGGAUGAGGAGGUGUGGGAGGAUGGAGACAGCGGCCACCAAAGGCUGGGGAAGGCCCAGCUCCAGGAAUUUUCCUGGGCAUAUUUGAGAGUAAUCCCAAGAAUUUUGAAAUAGUUGAAAAACAGAGGGGGAAAACUGCGAAGCUGAUCCAUUUGUGGUAAUUCCAAACUUCUCCCACGGCACCAUUCUGGGGGAAACCUGGUUAGGGGACAAAGAUUCAGAGGAACAAAUACUGUAAACUCCCCUGGGCUGUCCAGCAGAGCAAACCUUCCAGUAAUCCCAGCUGAUGUCUCUGAGAAACUGUGGGAUCAUAAGGAUUUGCAGGAAAGCUAAACUAGGACAGAGAUGAGGGAAUAAGCUUCCAAUUUAAUAAUGAUUUGAUGGAUGAAAGAAUGAUUCUUGUAUGUUGGAUGCUUUGUUUUAGACAUCUGAAUAUUUUUGAAAUGGUUCAUUUAAUAAAUCAUCUAAAUUUGGGAAUUUAAAUUUGAGAGGAAACAACACAAAAUGAAUGCAGGGAGAGACUGGAAUCAUCCUGGAACGGUUUGGGCUGGAAGCCUCAUCUCCGAACCUGUCCUGGGCUGGCUCCUGUCCUUCAGCCACUCGCUGCAGGUGGACGUGGAAGUGAUGGAGAUGUGCAGGGAAUGCUGCUUGGUUUUCCCUGCCUCUGGCAAUCUGGCCAUUCAAAAGACCAAUUGACCUCUUCCAGCAGG
Molecule: long non-coding RNA, 1240 nt
Organism: Melospiza georgiana
Lineage: Eukaryota; Metazoa; Chordata; Aves; Passeriformes; Passerellidae
Exons: 4
Source: RefSeq, a predicted model, not a curated record